GACGUAGGGGCGAGCGUUGUCCGGAAUUACUGGGCGUAAAGAGCACGUAGGCGGGAACCUAAGUCAGGUGUGAAAGACCGUGGCUCAACCACGGGGUGGCAUUUGAAACUGGGUUUCUUGAGGGCAGGAGAGGAAAGCAGAAUUCCUGGUGUAGCGGUGAAAUGCGUAGAAAUCAGGAGGAAUACCAGUGGCGAAGGCGGCUUUCUGGACUGACCCUGACGCUGAGGUGCGAAAGCGUGGGUAGCAAACAGGAUUAGAUACCCUGGUAGUCCCUGAG
RNAcentral lists this ribosomal RNA (277 nucleotides) under uncultured prokaryote. RNAcentral describes it as "partial 16S ribosomal RNA". It matches the Rfam family "Bacterial small subunit ribosomal RNA", at positions 524 to 801 of the family's 1533-position model. The record is from RNAcentral.